CACUAUUUGGUAUUUCUGGUCUGUGGUUCAUGCCUAUUGGAAGUCACAUUUUCUGUUGAUUUAGUGUGACAGAAGCAAGUGAGAAGUCAAGACAACCGUGUGGACCCCUUUGGUGGAACUGCGCCCCGUGAGCACAAGAAAAACCGAAAAGAAUCCACUUUAUAAAAAUGGGAAGGAACUGGUCCCGUUGUUAGAAACACACCGUCAUGCUCUGGGUGUGAAGUGUUGUCUACGUGGAUGAAAUUGAAGUAGCACCUUCCAUCCUACUUUUGGGCUAGCUUGUACCCCUGCCACUGCUCCAAAAUAGGAAACAGCAGGUCAAAGUGCAGUGUGUCGCAGAAGUGUUUCCAAGUGUGAAGAGGCGCUGAGCCCCUGGGACACCCACGUCUCUUCCUGUUUCCCUUUCACGUGAAGUAAGUUGACUAACUUUGUUUAUGUUUUCUGUAACGCUCUCUGGAAAAUUU
This 464-nucleotide long non-coding RNA is filed under the name Struthio camelus australis. Its description in RNAcentral is "lncRNA (ENSSCUG00000002165.1)". The record is from RNAcentral. Lineage: Eukaryota; Metazoa; Chordata; Aves; Struthioniformes; Struthionidae.